AGAAAAAAAGUAGCAACCUCCGCGUAGUUAUCGUCUUCCCGGGGGCCUUUCAUCGAACCUGCACUGACGCCGCAGGGGAUCCCUUGCAGUGGGAUCCGGUGGACCAGUGAUAAACGUUACCCGGUGGUAUCGCACUUCCAUGGGCCGAAACAGGAUUGUUUCCCGUUGGAAGCAAAGGAUGUGCAGUGGUGCAGUGAUGGCGGGGCUUGACAGGACGGAAAGUUUGGUGGGGAUGGUGGCUGUUCGUGUUCCGGAGAAGUUGGCGAAUUUUCGAGCAAAGCAACGGAAGCUUCUGUAAGGGCAUAGUAGUGUUUCCAGCGGGGGAGCUGCAGGUGAAACGAACCGCAAUGUCAUUGCACGAAGCAAGGACGUGAAGCCAAUGCAGGAGCAGUUAACCCAGAACUUGUUCGAUCACAUCCUGAGGUGACAUCGACGGGAAUCUUUCCGAUGAAAUAGAAUUAGAAUUAGCAUUGUUUGACUCAUUUAUACCAAACUCUUGGUGAAGCUUGUUACUGAAAUUGAAUUAUUGUUUUGUAUUUGGCCACUUUGCUAGGUCUUCUUAUAUAGGUUCGCUCUUUCAGCCUGGAAAGCAUGCAUGCUGUUGAGUCCAAUUUAAUAGUUUUCUCAUGAGACAACUAUUAAAUUUGACUCAAUUGUAUGGUUGUUCUCCAAGCUGCAGUUUAUUUAAUGUCUAGAAGUGCUAGAAUAAUGGUUAGGCACGCUGUAAUGCUACUUUUGUACCUCAUCACCCACUAAAUGCAACUACAUUAGUGGUCUAAUAACACUUAGCGCGCUUCGGCACGGUUCCAUCAUGCCGCUUAUAGUGUUGCCAC
Molecule: long non-coding RNA, 833 nt
Organism: Aedes albopictus (Asian tiger mosquito)
Lineage: Eukaryota; Metazoa; Arthropoda; Insecta; Diptera; Culicidae
Exons: 3
Source: RefSeq, a predicted model, not a curated record